Molecule: long non-coding RNA, 2253 nt
Organism: Brachypodium distachyon (stiff brome)
Lineage: Eukaryota; Viridiplantae; Streptophyta; Magnoliopsida; Poales; Poaceae
Exons: 2
Source: RefSeq, a predicted model, not a curated record
CCCCUUCUGGCCCCUCUCAUUCCCCCCACCUCCGGUCUCCCUCGCUGCCGGCGCGCCCCCACCUCCAUCCUCCCCUGCCGCCGGCGCGCCUCCCCCGCCCCCGCCCCAGCCCCCUACCUCCCCCGCCACCGGAGGGCUUGGAUCGGGGAGUCCAUGGCCGGCGGCGGCGUUCGCUCCUGUCCUGGACUCCCUCCGCCCGACGCCGACGACGCCAUGGCUCGAUCUACCCCUGUCCCAACCUCUCCUGCUGCUGGAUGGGAAUCCGCUUCUGGGCGUUGGGGAUGCAAUGGCGGCGCGAAGGACGUUCGGCGCAGCUGCUCCCGCCGCCCAGCUUCUCUUGUUUUACGUGCUUUGCUGGCAGCCUAUGGCACAGAGGGGCCGCUCCUUAGCCGCCAAGGCCACCGCCGCCAUCCCCCUGCAGCUUGACGCCACCGCGCCGCUGGAGCUCAAUGGCCACUGUCGUGCUAUCUAGUACGGAGUAGUACGUAAUCCCUAGUGGCCUAGUCCCUGGUCCUCCACUAAAUUCGUCACGAUUUUUGCUGUCAUCUCUUCCUCAUCCUCGUCGAGCGAAGUGCUCGCUAGCAGGAGGCGUCGCCGCACCUUCCCCUCGCCUGUGUAUCCCCCCUCCCUCACUAUCCGCAGCGGAGCGUGUGCUGGUAAGAAGAGGCGCGGCCGCGCCUUCCACUUGCUAUGUACUGUAUUCCCCCAUCCUCGUUCACAGCUUCUCCCAUUUCUCUGGUUGGUGUUACUUUCAUGAUUUUUUAGAUGUAGCUUUAGUAUUAAUAAUUACUUUUAGGAGUUAAAUAGAUGUAGUUUUUAUGUUAAGAGUUACUUUCUUGAUUUUUUAGAUGUAGCUUUAGUAAUGACAAUUGGAUCAUCUCAGUUCGAGGUGGUUUCUAAAAAAUUGAUCAUACAUGACAUACUUGUUUCUGUUUGCAGAAAAGUGCAAGGAGGGGUUGGACUGUACAUAGUCAGCUGCAGUUAUUCUUCUUCCUAAAAGCACAAUGGAAAUUUCUUGUUAACUUUACGUUUUUAUACAGAAGAGUUAGCUCAGCCCUGAACUUGCACUAUGUAUAUUCAUUUUAGCAGUAUGAAUAUUGUAUCAAACUGACAAUCCUCAGUUUUAUACACAUCAUUCACAAUAGUUUGGGAUCCAUUUGUCUUGGCCUGCAGCAGUUUAGACCUUCUCGUUGGGUACUGCUCUUCCUGGAGUCUAAUACUUAUUUUUUUUCUAUCCAUUUUCCUACAUGUUUACUAAGAGUGAAAAAAUAUAUGGAAACGCCACAUUUCUUUAGAUUGCUCUUGCCACUGUUUAGGGUACCUUACUAGUAGAUGUACUCCCUUCGUUCCAUAAUUCUUGUCAAAAUCUUACAUGUAUCUGACACUUUUGAGGAAUAGAUACAUCCAUUUUUGGGCAAAUUUGAGACAAGAAUUAUGGAACAGAGGGAGUAGUUUUUAUGUUAAGAGUUACUUUCAUGGUUUUUUAGAUGUAACUAUGGAAGUACGGUGUAACUUUUGGAUGAUUAGCUCUGUAAACAAAGUAAUUUUAAGAUGAUUAGCUCUGUAAACAAAGUAAUUUUAAGAUGAUUAGCUCUGACAGAGCACCAAAAUUAAUUGCAUGCACAGAAUGUUUGUUGUACACAUGCUUGUAACUUUAUUUGCUAUGUAAUUUAGACAUCAUGACAUUUGUUGCCUGUUUUGUGCACACCUUGCUAAUGGUGUUGCUUGCCGAUGUUUAACCCUAGUCGGGCUUCCUGCUGCUCCCAUCCUGUCCAGCUCCAGCGUGGCGCCGUUUCCAUCCAGAUUCGUGUGGACAUAGAGAUGUCCUGCCCCAUCUAGUACGCCUUCUUGCUGAGAAGCGAGGGUGGAAACGAAGGGGGUUUGUAAGGCUUAGGGGUUUGCAGCGAGGUUACUUCCGGAUGUGCACGGCAUUUAGUGAACAAAUUUCUGCUCUUCUUGGGUUAAUGAAAUGCUUUCCUCAUUGGUCAGUCAAACUGCUGGCAGAACAAGUUGCGUCCAAGGCCAGUAGGUGCAAUUUUGUUCUUUUUUUUUUGACAGCUUGCAAUUUUGUUCUAUUUUUUUUUUGACAGCUUGCAAUUUUGUUCUAGUUACUUUCUUGGAUUUACAGAAUUACAUUUUUGCGGGUAAGAUUUGCAGAAUUACUUUGAAGCCAACAGCAAAUUUUGUAACAACCAUAUUGUCUAAUUUUCUUCCCAGAUGUAAUUCUUAUGCAUGCUGUAAAUAUCACAUCAA